RNAcentral lists this unclassified non-coding RNA (242 nucleotides) under Hevea brasiliensis (rubber tree). The record is from RNAcentral. Lineage: Eukaryota; Viridiplantae; Streptophyta; Magnoliopsida; Malpighiales; Euphorbiaceae.
GCGGCGUGGAAUUGUUUGGUAUCGUUCUUCUCGUUCUGAACUUUCUCGACGGCUUGUAUAAACUUUCAAAGUUGAAUUGGCAUAUCGCUUACCAAAUCGCCAUGUCGAUCUGUUACAUCGUCUUGAGCGUCCGAUUGGUCCAGUUGAUCCUUGCCUUCCGCGGAGAGUAACUGCCGGUUNNUACUGCGCCGCGAACUGGCUCAGUACAUCCUUGCACGCGGGUGACAGCGAACCAGCCCGCA